GCCAUAUCUCCAUUCCUUUUUCAAAAUUUUAAAUUUUGAGAUGUCUCACUAAGUUGCUUAGGACUUCACUAAGUUGCUUGAGGCUGGCUUUGUAUUUGUGGUCCUCCUGCCUCAGCCUCCUGAAUCACUGGGAGUACAGUGUGCCAUCAUACCCGGAAACAUGGAAUAUUGAGUAAGAGUCAAGGUUGCCUGAGACCAAAUGGGACCUACAUUAUACUGUAGAGCAGAUGGGCUCAUUUGUACUUUUUGUUAUUUUUAAAUUUUUCUGUUUUUAAAUUGGUGUAUUAUAGUUGUACACAGUGAUGGGGAUUUGUUGUUACAUAUUUGUACAUACACACAAUAUAAUAAUAUAAUUUGGCCAACAUAGUUUCCCAGCACUUUGGACUUGUUUUUAAUCUCAAAGACCUAUGUUAGGGGCCAACCAUCACUGACCAAAAAAACAAAACAACAACAACAAAAAACUACUAUGGUAUUAUGAACUAGCCUUCAUUUAUGUUAAAUUGCUUUUGUGAAGAAAUCUGCUUUCAGUAGGAUCAUCUAUCUCUACCUUUUGGCCCCUUACCUCUUCUGCAGUCAACCUUAGGUUAACUAAGCCUUUCCAGCAUUCUGAUAGGUGACUUGAUACAGGUGAAAUUAAGGUCAGACUAGUGUUUUGUUGAUUAUUUGCAAUAUAUUUGGUUUUUGGUGGUUGUGGUAGUCAUUAAGUAUGACAAACAUUGCUAUUUCUGUGUUUAUGUUAAAUUAUCUUUCCUUUUCGUGAAAGAGCAAGAAAAGUCAACCUUAAUAGCUUGUUUUGGAUGAAAGUAAGCCUUCAUUUUUUUAUGUCAGUUUUCUAACCACUUUAUGGAAUUCUGCUUUUUUUUUUUUUAACUGAUGAUUGAACCUAGAGUUGUUUACCAUUGAGUGACAUUUCCAGCCAGUUUUAUUCAUUUUUUAAAAAUAUUAAAAAAAAUAUUUUUUAGUUGUAGAUGGACACAGUUGCUUUAUUUAUUUAUUUUAUGUGGUACUGAGGAUCGAACCCAGUGCCUCACUCAUGCUAGGGAAGCUCUCUACCACAGAGCUGUAACCCCAGCCCUUAUUAUUCAUUUUGAGACAGGGUCUGAUUAAGUUGCUGAGGGUCUUGCAAAGUUGUCCAGUUUGGCCUCAAACUUGGAAUCCUGCCUCAGCAUCUGAGUUGCUGGAAUUAUAGGUGUGUACCACCAGGCCUAAGAGCCUGUAGGGGGCUCCAGAAGACAGGAUUUAGUCUUAGAGCAGUGACUGAAUCUUCACAGCAAGUUGCAAUGAGACAUUUCAUAUUAUAAUCCAGUAUAUAGCACACCCCAAACAAGUUUACCAUACAACAUUUAGGCUUACUACCCAAUAAACAGUUGGGGUUUUAUUCUUUUAGAUAAAAAUUCUUAUCUGUAUCCACUGUUGGACUUUCAAGGUUUUAGUUUGGAAAUGAGUUGCA
RNAcentral lists this long non-coding RNA (1450 nucleotides) under Marmota monax (woodchuck). The record is from RNAcentral. Lineage: Eukaryota; Metazoa; Chordata; Mammalia; Rodentia; Sciuridae.